RNAcentral lists this ribosomal RNA (618 nucleotides) under uncultured bacterium. Its description in RNAcentral is "bacterial SSU rRNA". It matches the Rfam family "Bacterial small subunit ribosomal RNA", at positions 334 to 945 of the family's 1533-position model. The record is from RNAcentral.
UACUCCUACGGGAGGCAGCAGUGGGGAAUUUUGGACAAUGGGCGAAAGCCUGAUCCAGCCAUGCCGCGUGCAGGAUGAAGGCCUUCGGGUUGUAAACUGCUUUUGUACGGAACGAAACGGCCUUUUCUAAUAAAGAGGGCUAAUGACGGUACCGUAAGAAUAAGCACCGGCUAACUACGUGCCAGCAGCCGCGGUAAUACGUAGGGUGCAAGCGUUAAUCGGAAUUACUGGGCGUAAAGCGUGCGCAGGCGGUUAUGUAAGACAGUUGUGAAAUCCCCGGGCUCAACCUGGGAACUGCAUCUGUGACUGCAUAGCUAGAGUACGGUAGAGGGGGAUGGAAUUCCGCGUGUAGCAGUGAAAUGCGUAGAUAUGCGGAGGAACACCGAUGGCGAAGGCAAUCCCCUGGACCUGUACUGACGCUCAUGCACGAAAGCGUGGGGAGCAAACAGGAUUAGAUACCCUGGUAGUCCACGCCCUAAACGAUGUCAACUGGUUGUUGGGUCUUCACUGACUCAGUAACGAAGCUAACGCGUGAAGUUGACCGCCUGGGGAGUACGGCCGCAAGGUUGAAACUCACAGGAAUUGACGGGGACCCCCACAAGCGGUGGAGCAUGUGGA